This 497-nucleotide ribosomal RNA is filed under the name uncultured bacterium. RNAcentral's name for it is "partial 16S ribosomal RNA". It matches the Rfam family "Bacterial small subunit ribosomal RNA", at positions 28 to 507 of the family's 1533-position model. The record is from RNAcentral.
GAUGAACGCUGGCGGCGUGCCUAAUACAUGCAAGUCGAGCGAACAGAUGAGGAUCUUGCUCCUCUGACGUUAGCCGCGCACGGGUGAGUAACACGUGGAUACCCUACCUAUAAGACUGGGAUAACUUCGGGACACCGGAGCUAAUACCGGAUAAUAUAUUGAACCGCAUGGUUCAAUAGUGAAAGACGGUUUUGCUGUCACUUAUAGAUGGAUCCGCGCCGCAUUAGCUAGUUGGUAAGGUAACGGCUUACCAAGGCAACGAUGCGUAGCCGACCGGAGAGGGUGAUCGGCGACACUGGAACUGGGACACGGUCAAGACUCCUACGGGAGGCAGCAGUAGGGAAUCGGACGCAAUGGUCGAAAGCCUGACGGAGCAACGCCGCGUGAGUGAUGAAGGUCUUCGGAUCGUAAAACUCUGUUAUUAGGGAAGAACAAAUGUGUAAGUAACUAUGCACGUCUUGACGGUACCUAAUCAGAAAGCCACGGCUAACUACGUG